RNAcentral lists this ribosomal RNA (348 nucleotides) under uncultured alpha proteobacterium DCM-FREE-32. Its description in RNAcentral is "partial 16S ribosomal RNA". The record is from RNAcentral. Lineage: Bacteria; Pseudomonadati; Pseudomonadota; Alphaproteobacteria.
GGUUACCUUGUUACGACUUCACCCCAGUCAUGAAGCACACCGUGGUAAACGCCCUCCCGAAGGUUAGACUAUCUACUUCUGGUGCAAUCCACUUCCAUGGUGUGACGGGCGGUGUGUACAAGACCCGGGAACGUAUUCACCGCGGCGCGCUGAUCCGCGAUUACUAGCAAUUCCAGCUUCAUGCACUCGAGUUACAGAGUACAAUCCGAACUGAGACACAUUUUUGGGAUUAGCUAGGAGUCGCCUCUUUGCUUCCCAUUGUAAGUGCCAUUGUAGCACGUGUGUAGCCCAACACAUAAGGGCCAUGAGGACUUGACGUCAUCCCCACCUUCCUCCCACUUAUCAUUG